This 253-nucleotide ribosomal RNA is filed under the name uncultured bacterium. Its description in RNAcentral is "partial 16S ribosomal RNA". It matches the Rfam family "Bacterial small subunit ribosomal RNA", at positions 524 to 776 of the family's 1533-position model. The record is from RNAcentral.
UACGAAGGGGGCUAGCGUUGCUCGGAAUCACUGGGCGUAAAGGGUGCGUAGGCGGGUCUUUAAGUCAGGGGUGAAAUCCUGGAGCUCAACUCCAGAACUGCCUUUGAUACUGAGGAUCUUGAGUUCGGGAGAGGUGAGUGGAACUGCGAGUGUAGAGGUGAAAUUCGUAGAUAUUCGCAAGAACACCAAUGGCGAAGGCAAUGUUCUGGCUCGUUUCUGACGCUCAGGUGCGAAAGCCAGGGGAGCGAACGGG